UUCGCCCUUAGAGUUUGAUCCUGGCUCAGGAUGAACGUUGGCGGCGUGCCUAACACAUGCAAGUCGAGCGUGAAGCUUGAAAACAAACCUUCGGGUGAGUUUUUAAGUGGAAAGCGGCGGACGGGUGAGUAACGCGUGGGCAACCUACCUCAUACUAAGGGAUAGCCACUGGAAACGGUGAUUAAUACCUUAUAAGACUACAAUAACACAUGUUAUAGUAGUAAAAGAUUUAUCGGUAUGAGAUGGGCCCGCGUCUGAUUAGCUAGUUGGUAAGGUAACGGCUUACCAAGGCUUCGAUCAGUAGCCGACCUGAGAGGGUAAUCGGCCACACUGGAACUGAGACACGGUCCAGACUCCUACGGGAGGCAGCAGUGGGGAAUAUUGCACAAUGGGCGAAAGCCUGAUGCAGCAACGCCGCGUGAGUGAUGAAGGCUUUCGAGUCGUAAAGCUCUGUCCUAAGGGAAGAAUUGAUGACGGUACCUUAGGAGGAAGCCCCGGCUAACUACGUGCCAGCAGCCGCGGUAAUACGUAGGGGGCAAGCGUUAUCCGGAAUCAUUGGGCGUAAAGGGUGCGUAGGCGGCCAAAUAAGUUAGAGGUGAAAGGCUAUGGCUUAACCAUAGUAAGCCUUUAAAACUGUUUGGAUUGAGUGCAGGAGAGGAAAGUGGAAUUCCUAGUGUAGCGGUGAAAUGCGUAGAUAUUAGGAGGAACACCAGUGGCGAAGGCGACUUUCUGGACUGUAACUGACGCUGAGGCACGAAAGCGUGGGGAGCAAACAGGAUUAGAUACCCUGGUAGUCCACG
Molecule: ribosomal RNA, 800 nt
Filed under: uncultured bacterium
Lineage: Bacteria
Description: bacterial SSU rRNA
Rfam family: Bacterial small subunit ribosomal RNA
Source: RNAcentral